Small nucleolar RNA from Cavia aperea (Brazilian guinea pig), 136 nucleotides. NCBI's taxonomy places the organism in Eukaryota, Metazoa, Chordata, Mammalia, Rodentia, Caviidae. The record is from Ensembl.
AUGGCCCUGAACCAAGGCUGGCAGUUCCUGAUGCUGUUGGUUUCAAGCAGGAGCCUAAAGAGAUGUCUUUCUAUGGUCUGUUGGCCAUUUCAGAACUUGAGCAGUGAAAUGGACAAUUCAUUAGAAAGAAGCAGCU